AUUGAACGCUGGCGGCAGGCUUAACACAUGCAAGUCGAGCGGGGUGAUGGUGCUUGCACUAUCACUUAGCGGCGGACGGGUGAGUAAUGCUUAGGAAUCUGCCUAUUAGUGGGGGACAACAUCUCGAAAGGGAUGCUAAUACCGCAUACGUCCUACGGGAGAAAGCAGGGGAUCUUCGGACCUUGCGCUAAUAGAUGAGCCUAAGUCGGAUUAGCUAGUUGGUGGGGUAAAGGCCUACCAAGGCGACGAUCUGUAGCGGGUCUGAGAGGAUGAUCCGCCACACUGGGACUGAGACACGGCCCAGACUCCUACGGGAGGUAGCAGUGGGGAAUAUUGGACAAUGGGGGGAACCCUGAUCCAGCCAUGCCGCGUGUGUGAAGAAGGCCUUAUGGUUGUAAAGCACUUUAGGCGAGGAGGAGGCUACUCUAGUUAAUACCUAGGGAUAGUGGACGUUACUCGCAGAAUAAGCACCGGCUAACUCUGUGCCAGCCGCCGCGGUAA
Molecule: ribosomal RNA, 501 nt
Filed under: uncultured bacterium
Lineage: Bacteria
Description: partial 16S ribosomal RNA
Rfam family: Bacterial small subunit ribosomal RNA
Source: RNAcentral